This 352-nucleotide unclassified non-coding RNA is filed under the name soil metagenome. Its description in RNAcentral is "partial contains 5.8S ribosomal RNA, internal transcribed spacer 2, and large subunit ribosomal RNA". The stretch from base 1 to 120 matches the Rfam family "5.8S ribosomal RNA", at positions 35 to 154 of the family's 154-position model. The record is from RNAcentral.
GAUGAAGAACGUAGCGAAAUGCGAUAAGUAAUGUGAAUUGCAGAAUUCCGUGAAUCAUCGAAUCUUUGAACGCACAUUGCGCCCGCCAGUAUUCUGGCGGGCAUGCCUGUUCGAGCGUCAUUACAACCCUCAGGCCCCCGGGCCUGGCGUUGGGGAUCGGCGGAAGCCCCCUGUGGGCACACGCCGUCCCUCAAAUACAGUGGCGGUCCCGCCGCAGCUUCCAUUGCGUAGUAGCUAACACCUCGCAACUGGAGAGCGGCGCGGCCAUGCCGUAAAACACCCAACUUCUGAAUGUUGACCUCGAAUCAGGUAGGAAUACCCGCUGAACUUAAGCAUAUCAAUAAGCGGAGGA